Molecule: RNA transcript, 7334 nt
Organism: Neoarius graeffei (lesser salmon catfish)
Lineage: Eukaryota; Metazoa; Chordata; Actinopteri; Siluriformes; Ariidae
Exons: 3
Source: RefSeq, a predicted model, not a curated record
ACACACGUACGUUAUGACCACUUUUCCUGUGUCUGAUGCUUGUUGAACUGUGCUACUAAGGUUGAUCCAGAACUUGUUCACGCAUUUUCUCACUGUGUGUUUAACGGUGUUUGUUCUGGCCCUACCAGCAGUUCUUAUGUUAAAGUAUGCAGAGACUUUUAUUUUGCCUAUUGUUUACACCCCACAUUGUAGCUGCAGGAAAUCUGUAGAGAGGAGAAGAAGAAAAAGUUAGACAGCAUGGUUAUAAGCAGCAUGGAAGUUUGUUGUUGUGCUCCUCCUUCUGUGUAGCUGUUCAAAGGCAUUCUCUUUUCACAAUUUUCCAUAUAAAGAGUCAACUUCACCCUCGGUGUCCCGGACUUAUUGUGUGGAGUUGUUUAGCUUGCUGGAUAGCUGAAUUAGGACAUUCUGUGAAGCCAGUACAGUGAAAAGAGAGACUUGUGAAGAGCUACUGAUGACCAAACUGCAGUAUUGUGCUGGCAGCCCGAACCAGUACGACAACUGCAACGUCGCUAGGAAGGAUUGAGGUAAAACACAUCCAUAGUAGCCAUGGACAGAGCAAAUGCAUCAGUCAGAUCAUCAGAUUCCCAUAUGAGUAGUGCUUCAUGUAAAGUUGCAUUGGCAGCAGCCACAGCACGUGCCAGAGCCCAAGCUGCGCAUGCAAGAGCUGCUUAUUCACGUAAAGAGAUUGAAUUAAAGAUGGAAAAAGCCCGUCUUGAUGCAACACUCAUCGCCUUAGAAAGGGAGAGAGAGGCAGAAGCCGCCAUGGCUGAAGCAGCAGUAAUGGAGGCUGCAGCCGUAGACUUUGAAGAUGAGUGCCGCAGUCAUGGACCAGAGUUACUGCCCAGGCAAAGUGCAGAACGGCGUACUGAGGAAUAUGUAGAAAGACACAGCCAUCUCAGUGGCAGCUCACAUUCACUCGAAGAUUUACACUCAUGUGAGGAGCAAAUACCCCUCAAUCCCAGUGCUUAUGUAUCUGUAUGUGGAGAUAAGGAAGGUGAACUCCCAACUCCUGAUCACCAUCAGCAAUGUGACCAUUUCGCAGAUGGUAACCCCCAUGUGGGCGAUGUUCGUGCGAAUACACAAGUGUGUACUGAGCCGAUGAGUACCCAGCUGCAUGCAGGCUUACCUGCUCACACACCCCGGCGUGCUGAACAAAGCGCGCUCAGGUCAGGCUUACCUGCUCACACAUUCAGGCACGCUGACCACAGUCCACUCAGGUCAGGCUUACCUGCUUACACCUCCAGGCGUGCUGACCACAGCGCACUCAGGUCAGGCUUACCUGCUCACACAUCCAGGAACGCUGACCACGGUCCACUCAGGUCAGGCUUACCUGCUCACACGUCCGGGCAUGCUCACCACAGCCCACUCAGGUCGGGUUUACCUGCUCACACAUCCAGACACGCUGACUACAGCCAUUUCAGGCCAGGCAUACCAGUUUAUACACACAGGCACAACGACCACAGCCCCACCACAUCUAGGGCUGCACACUGCUCCAGCGACACAGCCACAUCUGACUUAGCGAGGUACCUAGCAUGAAGUCAGCUAGUGUCAUCAGGACUAACCAGGUUUGAUGAUAAGCCAGGAAAUUACUUAUCCUGGAAGAGCUCAUUCCUGAACACCAUUGACAGCCUAGAUCUUACAGCAGGAGAAGAGAUGGAUUUAUUAAUAAGAUGGCUAGGCCCAGAAUCUGCAGCACAUGCAAGGCGUAUUAGAUCAGUGAAUGUGAGAGAUCAAGCAGCAGGCUUAUGGCUUGUGUGGGAGAGACUGGAGGAGAUGUAUGGCUCACCUGAAGCUAUAGAGGGCGCUCUCUUCACUAAACUCGAUCAAUUCCCCAAAAUAUCAAACAAGGAGCAUCAUAAACUUAGGGAGCUGUCUGAUUUGCUGUUAGAGAUUCAUUCUGCAAAACGUGAAGGAUACUUACCUGGCCUAUCCUAUCUCGACACAGCAAGGGGCAUAAACCCAAUAGUGGAGAAACUGCCAUACACGCUCCAGGACAAGUGGGUAAUGGAAGGCUCCCGAUACAAACAAGAAUUCAGGGUCCCUUAUCCUCCAUUUGAAUUCUUUUUACAGUUUGUACACAGGCAAGCAAAGGCACGCAAUGACCCAAGCUUUAGUCUUCCUCUCUUAAGUACAGCAGUCAGGAAAGAUAAGUUCAGUGAAAGCAGCCGAAGGACAGUUUCUGUGCAUAAAACUGACGUUGCACACUCCGAUUCCGCAUCCACUGCCGAAGACCCAGAGAAGCAAUGUCCUAUGCAUCAAAAACCACACUCCCUGCAAGUGUGCCACGGCUUCAGGGAAAAGCUAAUGGAUGAACGAAAGAGAAUACUAAAGGAGAAUAACAUAUGUUUUAAAUGCUGCGCGUCAAAUAAGCAUGUAGCCCGAGACUGUGAGGCAGCCAUCAAAUGUGCUGAGUGUGACAGCCAUAGACACCCAACAGCGCUGCACCCAGGCCCAGCUCCGUGGGUCUCCAAGACCUCAACACCCCCAUCAGGGAAUGGCGGGGAGAGCGAUGAAGCAUUAGAAACUGCUGUGGUUUCCAAAUGCACGGAGGUAUGUGGGGAAGGCUUCAAUGGCAAAUCAUGCUCCAAGAUAUGUCUUGUGACGGUCUACCCGGCAGACGGCCGCAACCAGGGCAAAAGGAUGUACGCCGUGCUGGAUGACCAAAGCAAUAGGUCGCUGGCACGCUCAGAGUUUUUUGAUAUCUUCCAUGUAGGCGGGCCCACAUACUCUUACACUCUAAAAACCUGCUCUGGUGUUGGUGACGCGUCCGGCCGCCGAGCUACAGGCUUCGUCAUCGAACCUGCAGAUGGUGACAUCAGCCUAACUCUGCCCACACUCCUGGAGUGUAACAUGAUUCCCAACAACAGAGACGAAAUCCCCACUCAAGCCGCCGCGCACAGCCACCCUCACCUCAGAGCUAUAGCCAAUGAAAUACCAGAAGUGGACAUGAAUGCUGAGAUCCUGCUGCUUCUGGGCAGGGACAUGCUGAGAGCGCACAAGGUGCGUAAACAGAUCAACGGACCACAUGACGCACCCUACGCACAGAGGCUGGACUUAGGAUGGGUCAUAGUUGGCGAUGUGUGCCUGGGCAGCACACAUCGGCCUCCCGAAGUCACCAGCAUGAAAACAUACAUCCUUGAAAAUGGCAGGCCAAGCCACUUUCCCCCAUGUGAGAACCACUUGAAGGUAAAGGAGAAAAUCUGUUCCCCUAAUCAGCCCCAGCCUGUCAGCCGUGUGACAUACAGUGACAACCUGGGCCUAUCGGUUUUCCAGCAAACCAAGGAUGAUCACAAGCUUGCGCCAUCAAUGGAAGAUCUCCUAUUCCUUGAAACAAUGGAAAAUGAAUUCUUCCAGGAUUCGGCUAACAGUUGGGUGGCCCCGCUACCGUUCCGCCAACCCAGGAUGUGUCUGCCUAAUAACCGCCAAUAUGCCAUGGGUCGGCUGAAGUCUCUGCACCGAACACUCAACAAAAAUCCAGAGAUGAAAUCUCAUUUUAUGGACUUUAUGCAAAAAAUGCUGGACAGCCACCACGCAGAGCUUGCUCCUCCCAUGCAAGAUGGGAAGGAGUAUUGGUACCUGCCCUUUUUUGGUGUCUACCACCCACAAAAACCCUCACAGAUCCGUGUGGUGUUUGAUUCGAGUGCACAGUUUGAAGGCAAGUCACUCAACAACGUGCUGCUCUCUGGGCCGAACAUGAACAAUAGCCUGCUAGGGGUUCUUAUAAGGUUCAGGAAGAACUCAGUUGCAUUCACAGCUGACAUACAACAAAUGUUUCAUUGUUUUCUCGUCCGAGAAGACUGCAGGGAUGUUCUACGCUUUCUCUGGCACAGAGAUAAUGACCUGAGUAAAGAGGUGGUUGACUACAGAAUGAGGGUGCAUGUCUUCGGAAACAGUCCCUCUCCUGCUGUGGCCAUCUACGGAUUACGAAGAGCUGCCCGCCAGGGAGAAGAACUGUAUGGCAGUGAUGUGCGGUACCUCACUGAUCGAGAUUUCUAUGUGGAUGAUGUCCUCAAGUCCGUCUCCACCGUGGAGCAAGCAGUCGAUCUACUCAAAAGAACACAGAAGAUGCUGGCAGCCUCCAACCUCCGGCUCCACAAGGUAGCCUCCAACAAAGCCGAUGUGAUGGAUGCAUUUCCAGUUGAAGAUCGCGCCAAAGACAUCCAGGAUCUUGACCUGUUUGUAGAUGACUUACCAGAUCAGCGAAGCCUCGGGGUGAAAUGGAGCCUCAUGUUAGACCACCUUACCUUUCAUGUUCCUCAGGACGAAAGCCCUUACACACGCAGGGGCGUACUUUCAAUGGUGAACAGCCUCUUCGACCCAUUGGGGUUCUUGGCACCAGUGACUAUCCAGGGUCGGCUAUUGUUAAGAGAGCUGUCAGCACAGGCCUCGGACUGGGACUCACCCCUCCCUGAGGAAAUGCGUGAGAAAUGGACAGAGUGGCGAAGCUCACUGAGCCAUCUCAGCAGCAUUCAUGUGCCCCACACAUACUUUUCCAUUCCCCCCUCUGAGAUACAAAGCAUUGAACUAUGCGUCUUUUCUGAUGCAUCUGUCAAAGCCAUAUCUGCUGUUGCCUACCUGAGAGUCACUAGCACCAAAGGGACAGUAGAACUGGGAUUCGUCAUGGGUAAAGCGCGGCUCGCCCCUCAGCCCGAACUCACAAUCCCCAGGCUUGAACUGUGCGCAGCGGUCAUGGCUGUUGAAAUCGCAGAGGUAAUAAGUGAAGAAAUAGACCUCCCACUCAACUCCGUCAUCUUUUACACAGACAGCAAGGUUGUCCUGGGCUACAUAUUCAACCAGUCAAGGCGCUUCUAUGUAUACGUAAACAACAGAGUUCAGCGUAUAAGACAAUCUAUCAUGCCUGAACAAUGGCAUUAUGUGCCAACGGAUCGGAAUCCUGCAGACCAUGGCUCACGCUCUGUUCCAGCCUCAAGACUCGGCAACACCUCAUGGCUCACAGGCCCCUCGUUUCUCCUCAACUCUAAGCUUCCACCUGAGCAGCACACAGAGUUUGACCUUAUCAACCCCGAUAAGGACGUAGAAAUCCGCCCUGAAGUCAAAACCCUAUCCACACACGUCACUGAGAGCUUCCUUGACUCCAAACGCUGGGAGCGCUUCUCCACAUGGAGAUCACUGAUCCAUGCUGUGGCCAAGCUCAGACACAUAGCCCUGUGUUUCGCUCACUCACAGAAUGAUGGAGACUGUGCUGGGUGGCACAUCUGUAAGAAGGCCAUCUCCAGUGGUACUCUCGAAGAGGCAGAGAACCUUGUCAUCUGGAGUGUGCAGCAUGAAGUCUAUGGAGAGGAGUUCCGUUGCAUCACUGCGAAAUGUGACCUCUCCAAGCAAAGCCCACUCAUCAAGUUGAAUCCCACCAUCGACAGCAGUGGCCUACUGAGAGUAGGUGGUCGUAUCAGUCAGUCAGGCCUUGAAGUAAAGGAAACAAACCCCAUCAUCUUACCUGGCAGUCAUCACAUCACCACUCUUAUUGUACGACACCAUCAUGAGAGAGUGCAGCACCAGGGCAGGCACUUUACAGAGGGCGCUGUCAGAGAGAGCGGCCUGUGGAUAAUGGGAGCAAAGAGGUGUAUUGGGAAGAUAUUAAACAAAUGUGUGAUUUGCAGACGACUCAGAGGCAAGAUUGAGGUGCAGCAAAUGAGUGAACUACCUGCAGAUCGUCUUCAGCCAGGCCCCCCUUUCUCACAUGUGGGCAUGGACAUGUUCGGGCCAUGGGAAGUGUCCGCAAGGAGAACACGCGGGGGUCAGGCUAAUAGUAAGAGAUGGGCAAUCCUGUUCACCUGUUUAUGCACAAGGGCUGUCCACAUCGAAGUGGUUGAAGAGAUGAGCGCUUCUAGUUUCAUCAAUGCUCUGAGGCGUUUCUUUGCGCUGCGCGGCCCAGCCAAACAGUUGCGCUCAGACUGUGGGACCAACUUUGUUGGUGCAUGCCGAGAAAUGGGCAUCAGCAUUGUAGAGCAGAGUGAAGUCCAGAAUUAUCUGCAAGAAGAAAAAUGUUCUUGGAUCUUUAACCCACCCCAUUCAUCCCACAUGGGUGGAGUGUGGGAACGCAUGAUCGGCGUUGCACGACGCAUACUGGACAGUGUGCUGCUGCGUGCUGGACAAGCACAUCUUACGCAUGAAUCACUCACCACUUUCCUUGCCGAGGUCACAGCCAUAAUUAACGCUCGUCCUUUGAUACCAGUCUCAUCUGACCCUGAGCAUCCUCACAUUCUGUCACCCUCCAUCCUGUUGACCCAGAAAUCAGGUACAUCAGUUCCACCUUUGGGAAGCUGCAGUCCAAGGGAGAUCUUAAAGAAUCAGUGGAAACGUGUACAGCUGCUGGCUGACGAGUUCUGGAAUAGGUGGCGCAAGGAGUAUCUUGGCACUCUGCAGUCACGGCACAAGUGGCAACACAAGAGACCAGAUCUCAAGCCAGGAGACGUUGUUCUUCUCAAGGAGAAACAGGUCAGGAGGAAUGAGUGGCCUAUGGGGGUUGUCGUUAAGACAGUCCCAAGCCAGGAUGGACUAAUAAGGAAGGCUGAAGUCAAGAUUGUUCAGCAAGGAACAACAAAGAACUAUUAUAGACCUAUUUCAGAACUAGUGUUUCUUCUAUCCCCAGAGUAAGGUAUCAUUCUAAUGUGUUAUGGUAUCUCUAAGAUACCAGACGGGGAGUGUUCUGGCCCUACCAGCAGUUCUUAUGUUAAAGUAUGCAGAGACUUUUAUUUUGCCUAUUGUUUACACCCCACAUUGUAGCUGCAGGAAAUCUGUAGAGAGGAGAAGAAGAAAAAGUUAGACAGCAUGGUUAUAAGCAGCAUGGAAGUUUGUUGUUGUGCUCCUCCUUCUGUGUAGCUGUUCAAAGGCAUUCUCUUUUCACAAUUUUCCAUAUAAAGAGUCAACUUCACCCUCGGUGUCCCGGACUUAUUGUGUGGAGUUGUUUAGCUUGCUGGAUAGCUGAAUUAGGACAUUCUGUGAAGCCAGUACAGUGUUCCUAGCUGAUCUUAAAGAUGCUAGUGUUGCUUGACUUGGAUGAUCUUUAUAAGAUUCGGUAGUGUCGGUAAAUUGCGAUGGCGGAAAUAUGGCGUUUGACCGACAAGAUGGCGUCUGUUUAUAAUCUGGAUCGGCUGUGAUGUCACAUGCAAGUGGACUAUUGAGUGUAUAAAUGAAUAUACUUUUCAGAAGUUGGACAUUUCUGUAUUGUAAAUCCUUUUUUUGAUUUAUCUUAGGGAAUAUUCUAAUAAUUUGAGAUACUGGAUUUCUGAUUUUCAUGAGCUAUAAGCCAUAAUCAUCAAAAUUAAAACAAAAAAGGCUUUAAAUAUUUCACUUUACAUGUAAUGAAUAUAGAA